GCUCAAAUUUAAAAUCUCCCUGAUUUCGUACCAGGGCGAAUUGUAAAUUCAAGGUAACGUUUUCUGAGGCAACUUGGGUCCAAGUCUGUUGGAACGCAGCGCCAUAGAGGGUGAGAGCCCCGUACGGCCCUAUGUUGUCUCUAUAUGAUACGUUUCCGACGAGUCGCGUAGUUUUAGAAUGCUGCGCUAAUUGGGUGAUAAAUAUCAUCUAAAGCUAAAUACUGGCGAGUAACCGAUAGCGAACAAGUACCGUGAGGGAAAGAUCAAAAGCACUUUGAAAAGAGAGUGAAAAGUACGUGAAAUUGUCUGUAGGGAAACGUUUGGCACCAGUAUCGGGUGCGUGUCAUCAGCCGCAAGGUGCAUUGGCAUGUGCCUGGGUCAGCGACACUUUGGUUUGGAGUAAAAAGACUUGUGGAAGGUAGCCCCUCGGGGUGUUAUAGCUGCUUGUCUAUGCUCUGGGCUGGAGUGAGGACUGCAACCGCCUUGGGUAAGGCGCCGCUCCGACUCGACCGUUUGUAGACAACUUGUUGACUAUGGAUGACUCGUUAGGAAUCGGUGUUGGAUCCACUAACGGUUUUGGUUGCUGGCGAAAUGGUUCUAAGCGACCCGUCUUGAAACACGGACCAAGGAGUCCAACACAUACGCGAGUGUUUGGGUGUCAAACCCGAAUGCGCAAUGAAAGUAAAUGUAGGUGGGAUCCGCAAGGUGCACCAUCGACCGGUCUGGAAGUUUACUGAAAGAUCUGAGUAUGAGCGUAUUUGUUGGGACCCGAACAGAUGGUGACCUAUACCUGAAUAGGGUGAAGUCAGAGGAAACUGCUGAUGGAAGCUCGUAGCGGUUACUGACGUGCAAAUCGAUCGUCAAAUUUGGGU
This 872-nucleotide ribosomal RNA is filed under the name Chytriomyces sp. JEL91. Its description in RNAcentral is "eukaryotic LSU rRNA". It matches the Rfam family "Eukaryotic large subunit ribosomal RNA", at positions 107 to 916 of the family's 3401-position model. Lineage: Eukaryota; Fungi; Chytridiomycota; Chytridiomycetes; Chytridiales; Chytriomycetaceae. The record is from RNAcentral.